This is an RNA transcript of Paramacrobiotus metropolitanus, 1334 nucleotides long. RefSeq lists it as uncharacterized. NCBI's taxonomy places the organism in Eukaryota, Metazoa, Tardigrada, Eutardigrada, Parachela, Macrobiotidae. The transcript has 5 exons. The record is from RefSeq and is a predicted model, not a curated record.
GGUCACUUGGGAUAUCCCAUCCGUUGGCGGUCUCGCGGCCGCUGUGGAGACCAUCUUGCCCCAGCCCAGUUAUCAUUAGUUCCAUUCGUCGGCUCCUUCUUGAGGCUGUUCGAGGCUCCUGCCACUUCCAGCAUCCCUUCCCGCAGGUGCUAUCCUAACGAGUAACGGCUACAAGCUACAGAAGCGGGAGGUCGCAGUGGCUGUACGUGGGACUGUCGUGUUGAACGCACUCUAUUGCGGCCCACUGGGCGGGACGAGAGCAGUGCAGUGAGCGCGCACGGAGAGCGCAUCCCUGACAAUGGCCACGUGACGCCUUGCGGCGGUUGGCAUGUCGUCAUGCGGGGCGGCGAGGAGCGUGCCGCUGUAGCUAAGCGCGGUGGAGAAACGACGGUGAUCCCCAGGCCCCGAGGAAGCCCGGAUUUUACGGGAAAAUAAUCAGCGCUGGCAGCACUUCAGCGACGAGAUCGACGACGGGUUUCGGGGUCUUAUGGGGAGCGCAAAAUCCCCACCAUCGUUGAUCCAGUUCUGCCCGUCCCUCACUUGCUGGCCUUGCCGUACUGGAUCGAGGUGCCGAUCCCCAUCACCAUUGACAAUGGCGAAAUGCGCGACUUCAUGGCCGUCAUGAUCACGAACCGCAUUCAGAGGGAGUUUGAACGCUACCGUGCCGAGAUGGAUCCCCACGGCGCUCGCUUCCUCAACCCCAUCGACCGUGUGGCGGUGGUGUUCGUUCCCGGGCCACUGGCUGGAGACGCCGUAGGAGACGGUGCAGCUGCACUGGAAUUCGCGGUGUAUUUCAGCGCUGAUGAAGCCGAGAGACUACGCGGGGACGCACAGCGUCGGGGGCAAAUUUUGGCCGAUAUCGGCGUCGUGGAGGCGGCGGGGGGAGGCUCCGAUGGGGAUCAACCAUGGGCGCUUCCAUGUCGCGGGCGUGCCCUACUGGCUCCACGUCCGCCGGGCGGUUGAUGAGGACAGUCGGGAGAAAGUUCGCGAGGAUACGGUAGGGAGGAUUCGAGGGUCCCUGCAGGAGCGCAUGCAGGCGCCUUGGCGGGUUGGCCGUACGACGGUGCAGCGGACGGCCGUGCCGGGCGGCGGCGGCGCAGCGGCGGCGGGAGGAGGUGGUCCGGCUGCGGCGGCAGCGGCUGGCCACGUUGCCGACGGAGAGGGCGGCGAUGGGCCGGGGAAUCCGCAGGCGCCGAAUGUCCACCCGUGACAGGCCACCAUCGUGGAGCGGGCAGAACGGGAGCGGUUAUGUUCAUGUGGCUUUUGUAAUUUUGGGAUUUUGCAUCCCACGCCGUUGAUCGUGAAAAUUUGGUUAUAAAGCAGUUCGAGUCGUC